Molecule: non-coding RNA, 348 nt
Organism: Gorilla gorilla gorilla (western lowland gorilla)
Lineage: Eukaryota; Metazoa; Chordata; Mammalia; Primates; Hominidae
Source: Rfam
ACUGGGCAUGGUGGCUCACGCCUGUAAUCCCAGCACUUUGGGAGGCCAAGGCAGGAGGAUCACUUGAGGUCAGGAGUUCGAGACCAGCCUAGCCAACAUGGUGAACCCCGUCUCUACUAAAAGUACAAAAAUUAGCCGGGCACAGUGACAGGCACCUGUAAUCACAGCUGCUCUGGAGGCUGAGGCAGGAGAAUCACUUUAACCCAGGAGGACUGAACCUAGACAGAGCUGGGAUUACAGGCACGUGCCACCAAACCCAGCUAAUUUUUGUAUUUUGAGUAGAGACGGGGUUCACCAUGUUGGCUAGGCUGGUCUCGAACUCCUAACCUCAAGUGAUCCUCCUGCCUU